AAUGGGCGAAAGCCUGAUGCAGCAACGCCGCGUGAGCGAUGAAGGCCUUCGGGUCGUAAAGCUCUGUCCUCAAGGAAGAUAAUGACGGUACUUGAGGAGGAAGCCCCGGCUAACUACGUGCCAGCAGCCGCGGUAAUACGUAGGGGGCUAGCGUUAUCCGGAAUUACUGGGCGUAAAGGGUGCGUAGGUGGUUUUUUAAGUCAGAAGUGAAAGGCUACGGCUCAACCGUAGUAAGCUUUUGGAACUAAAGAACUUGAGUGCAGGAGAGGAGAGUAGAAUUCCUAGUGUAGCGGUGAAAUGCGUAGAUAUUAGGAGGAAUACCAGUAGCGAAGGCGGCUCUCUGGACUGUAACUGACACUGAGGCACGAGAGCGUGGGGAGCAAACAGGAUUAGAUACCCUGGUAGUCCACGCCGUAAACGAUGAGUACUAGGUGUCGGGGGUUACCCCCCUCGGUGCCGCAGCUAACGCAUUAAGUACUCCGCCUGGGAAGUACGCUCGCAAGAGUG
Molecule: ribosomal RNA, 507 nt
Filed under: uncultured Bacillota bacterium
Lineage: Bacteria; Bacillati; Bacillota
Description: bacterial SSU rRNA
Rfam family: Bacterial small subunit ribosomal RNA
Source: RNAcentral